RNAcentral lists this ribosomal RNA (397 nucleotides) under uncultured bacterium. RNAcentral's name for it is "bacterial SSU rRNA". It matches the Rfam family "Bacterial small subunit ribosomal RNA", at positions 64 to 507 of the family's 1533-position model. The record is from RNAcentral.
GAGCGCCGUAGCAAUACGGAGCGGCAGACGGGAGAGUAACACGUGGGAACGUGCCCUUCAGUUCGGAACAACCCAGGGAAACUUGGGCUAAUACCGGAUACGUCCGUAAGGAGAAAGAUUUAUCGCUGAAGGAUCGGCCCGCGUCUGAUUAGCUUGUUGGUGAGGUAACGGCUCACCAAGGCGACGAUCAGUAGCUGGUCUGAGAGGAUGAUCAGCCUCACUGGGACUGAGACACGGCCCAGACUCCUACGGGAGGCAGCAGUGGGGAAUAUUGGACAAUGGGCGCAAGCCUGAUCCAGCCAUGCCGCGUGGAUGAUGAAGGCCCUAGGGUUGUAAAGUCCUUUCGGCGGGGAAGAUAAUGACGGUACCCGCAGAAGAAGCCCCGGCUAACUUCGUG